RNAcentral lists this unclassified non-coding RNA (328 nucleotides) under soil metagenome. RNAcentral describes it as "partial contains 5.8S ribosomal RNA, internal transcribed spacer 2, and large subunit ribosomal RNA". The stretch from base 1 to 120 matches the Rfam family "5.8S ribosomal RNA", at positions 35 to 154 of the family's 154-position model. The record is from RNAcentral.
GAUGAGGAACGUAGCGAAAUGCGAUAAGUAAUGUGAAUUGCAGAAUUCAGUGAAUCAUCGAAUCUUUGAACGCACAUUGCGCCCCCUGGUAUUCCGGGGGGCAUGCCUGUCCGAGCGUCAUUACAACCCUCAAGCUCAGCUUGGUAUUGGGCCCCGCCGACCCGGCGGGCCCUAAAGUCAGUGGCGGUGCCGUCCGGCUCCGAGCGUAGUAAUUCUUCUCGCUCUGGAGGUCCGGUCGUGUGCUCGCCAGCAACCCCCAAUUUUUUUCAGGUUGACCUCGGAUCAGGUAGGGAUACCCGCUGAACUUAAGCAUAUCAAUAAGCGGAGG